This 394-nucleotide ribosomal RNA is filed under the name Sphingomonas sp. RNAcentral describes it as "bacterial SSU rRNA". It matches the Rfam family "Bacterial small subunit ribosomal RNA", at positions 27 to 449 of the family's 1533-position model. Lineage: Bacteria; Pseudomonadati; Pseudomonadota; Alphaproteobacteria; Sphingomonadales; Sphingomonadaceae. The record is from RNAcentral.
GAAUGAACGCUGGCGGCAUGCCUAACACAUGCAAGUCGAACGAGACCUUCGGGUCUAGUGGCGCACGGGUGCGUAACGCGUGGGAAUCUGCCCUUGGGUUCGGAAUAACUCCUCGAAAGGGGUGCUAAUACCGGAUAAUGUCGUAAGACCAAAGAUUCAUCGCCCAAGGAUGAGCCCGCGUAGGAUUAGCUAGUUGGUGAGGUAAAAGCUCACCAAGGCGACGAUCCUUAGCUGGUCUGAGAGGAUGAUCAGCCACACUGGGACUGAGACACGGCCCAGACUCCUACGGGAGGCAGCAGUGGGGAAUAUUGGACAAUGGGCGAAAGCCUGAUCCAGCAAUGCCGCGUGAGUGAUGAAGGCCUUAGGGUUGUAAAGCUCUUUUACCCGGGAUGAU